UUGAUUGUGGCCUAGUGGUUAGAGCGUCCACCAAAGAUGCGGGAGGUCGCAGGUUCGAAACCCGGCCGAGUUGUACCAAA
Molecule: non-coding RNA, 80 nt
Organism: Potamilus streckersoni
Lineage: Eukaryota; Metazoa; Mollusca; Bivalvia; Unionida; Unionidae
Source: the annotation of a GenBank genome assembly